GAUGAAGAACGCAGCGAAAUGCGAUAAGUAGUGUGAAUUGCAGAAUUCAGUGAAUCAUCGAAUCUUUGAAUGCACAUUGCGCCCCUUGGUAUUCCAUGGGGCAUGCCUGUUCGAGCGUCAUUUGUACCCUCAAGCUAAGCUUGGUGUUGGGUGUUUGUCCACUCCCUCGUGUUUGGACUCGCCUUAAAACAAUUGGCAGCCAGUGUUUUGGUAUUGAAGCGCAGCACAAUUUGCGAUUCUAGCCUAGAAUACUAGCAUCCAUCAAGUCAUUUUUAACGCUUGACCUCGGAUCAGGUAGGGAUACCCGCUGAACUUAAGCAUAUCAAUAAGCGGAGGA
RNAcentral lists this unclassified non-coding RNA (337 nucleotides) under soil metagenome. RNAcentral's name for it is "partial contains 5.8S ribosomal RNA, internal transcribed spacer 2, and large subunit ribosomal RNA". The stretch from base 1 to 120 matches the Rfam family "5.8S ribosomal RNA", at positions 35 to 154 of the family's 154-position model. The record is from RNAcentral.